CGAAGGGCGUAGCGUUGCUCGGAAUCACUGGGCGUAAAGGGUAGGCGUAGGCGGGUCGUUUAAGUCAGGGGUGGAAAUACCUGGAGCUCAACUCCAGAACUGCCUUUGAUACUGAAGAUCUUGAGUCCGGGAGAGGUGAGUGGAACUGCGAGUGUAGAGGUGAAAUUCGUAGAUAUUCGCAAGAACACCAGUGGCGAAGGCGGCUCACUGGCCCGGUACUGACGCUGAGGCACGAAAGCGUGGGAGCAAACAGGAUU
This 257-nucleotide ribosomal RNA is filed under the name uncultured bacterium. RNAcentral's name for it is "partial 16S ribosomal RNA". It matches the Rfam family "Bacterial small subunit ribosomal RNA", at positions 526 to 779 of the family's 1533-position model. The record is from RNAcentral.